CUUGGAUUGGCACAGCCAUGGAUCUAAAUCCAACAGCAGACACGGUGCUAAAGAACUUCCUCGCCAUCCACUCAGCGGGACGACUCUCCUGCCUAUCCACCAACAAAACCCUGUGGAGAAAAAGUACAAAAGGACGGAUGAAGCCUAAUGACUCCUUUGAACUGCCGACAUCCCCGGCAGAUUGGAUUCGGGAAUGUCAGCCAACUAACCUUUAGUCUCUUUCCCACAUGAAGCAACAGUGAAGGGCACGUAAUACCAAUCUUUCGAUUCAUGUCCCUCUCCUGUAUUCAUAAUCAGGAUAUGCUGGCAUAGUGUGAAAGGAAGGCAAAAAGUGAAGAAGAAGAAACACUGUCAAACUCAUGCUUCACCACGGACACUCAUAGGAUCUUUCUCUGUGCGCCCCUCUGUUUCUCAAUCUUAGCGUCUUAUAAAACUGCCUGAGUUUCUCCUUUGGAUGGGCCAUGCUGUCUUGUGGUGAUUCAAAGGGAAGAAGGGAGAUCAUGCUGGAUCAUGGCAGACCCACCACAGCACAGAGACCUCCCUGCCGAUGAGCAAACACCACGACAAAUGGCAGAGCUAGCUGGACAAUCACUUGCUGAAUGGAAGCUAAUUAGCUGGAGUCUAAUGCCAGUUUACUAACACCUGUAUUAGUGUGCUCGCUCGGCAGGGAGUAAGGGCUGGCCAACAAGUGCUAAUCCCUCAUAAGCCCAAAGUACUCCUCCCAAACAGUGGCAUUAACAUAUACUUCUCAAGCCAGCUGUUGCUAACCUGAACCCAAAAGAGACAGCUUCAACAGUGAUGUGUUGCUAAAGAGGAGGGGAAAGAUC
Long non-coding RNA from Oreochromis niloticus (Nile tilapia), 827 nucleotides. RefSeq lists it as uncharacterized. The transcript has 3 exons. The record is from RefSeq and is a predicted model, not a curated record. NCBI's taxonomy places the organism in Eukaryota, Metazoa, Chordata, Actinopteri, Cichliformes, Cichlidae.